Molecule: ribosomal RNA, 253 nt
Filed under: uncultured bacterium
Lineage: Bacteria
Description: partial 16S ribosomal RNA
Rfam family: Bacterial small subunit ribosomal RNA
Source: RNAcentral
UACGAAGGGGGCGAGCGUUAUCCGGAUUUACUGGGCGUAAAGCGCCCGUAGGCGGCCUGACAAGUUGGACGUGAAAGCUCCUGGCUUAACUGGGAGAGGCCGUUCAAAACUGUCAAGCUAGAGUCUGGAAGAGGAGAGCGGAAUUCCCGGUGUAGUGGUGGAAUGCGUAGAGAUCGGGAGGAACACCAGUGGCGAAAGCGGCUCUCUGGUCCAAAACUGACGCUGAGGGGCGAAAGCGUGGGGAGCGAACGGG